RNAcentral lists this ribosomal RNA (549 nucleotides) under uncultured beta proteobacterium. RNAcentral's name for it is "bacterial SSU rRNA". It matches the Rfam family "Bacterial small subunit ribosomal RNA", at positions 355 to 897 of the family's 1533-position model. Lineage: Bacteria; Pseudomonadati; Pseudomonadota; Betaproteobacteria. The record is from RNAcentral.
UGGGGAAUUUUGGACAAUGGGCGCAAGCCUGAUCCAGCCAUGCCGCGUGAGUGAAGAAGGCCUUCGGGUUGUAAAGCUCUUUCGGCUGGGACGAAAAGGUCUGUGUUAACACCACGGAUCCAUGACGGUACCAGCAGAAGAAGCACCGGCUAACUACGUGCCAGCAGCCGCGGUAAUACGUAGGGUGCAGGCGUUAAUCGGAAUUACUGGGCGUAAAGCGUGCGCAGGCGGUUUGCUAAGACAGGUGUGAAAUCCCCGGGCUUAACCUGGGAACUGCGCUUGUAACUGGCAAGCUAGAGUGUGGCAGAGGGGGGUGGAAUUCCAGGUGUAGCAGUGAAAUGCGUAGAGAUCUGGAGGAACACCGAUGGCGAAGGCAGCCCCCUGGGCUAACACUGACGCUCAUGCACGAAAGCGUGGGGAGCAAACAGGAUUAGAUACCCUGGUAGUCCACGCCCUAAACUAUGUCAACUGGUUGUCGGGGAAGCAAUUCCUUGGUAACGAAGCUAACGCGUGAAGUUGACCGCCUGGGGAGUACGGCCGCAAGGUUAA